GUCGAACGGUAACAGGCCGCAAGGUGCUGACGAGUGGCGAACGGGUGAGUAAUGCAUCGGAACGUGCCCAGUCGUGGGGGAUAACGCAGCGAAAGCUGUGCUAAUACCGCAUACGAUCUAUGGAUGAAAGCGGGGGACCGUAAGGCCUCGCGCGAUUGGAGCGGCCGAUGUCAGAUUAGCUAGUUGGUGGGGUAAAGGCCCACCAAGGCGACGAUCUGUAGCUGGUCUGAGAGGACGACCAGCCACACUGGGACUGAGACACGGCCCAGACUCCUACGGGAGGCAGCAGUGGGGAAUUUUGGACAAUGGGCGCAAGCCUGAUCCAGCAAUGCCGCGUGCAGGAAGAAGGCCUUCGGGUUGUAAACUGCUUUUGUACGGAACGAAACGGUCCGGGUUAAUACCCUGGGCUAAUGACGGUACCGUAAGAAUAAGCACCGGCUAACUACGUGCCAGCAGCCGCGGUAAUACGUAGGGUGCAAGCGUUAAUCGGAAUUACUGGGCGUAAAGCGUGCGCAGGCGGUGAUGUAAGACAGGCGUGAAAUCCCCGGGCUCAACCUGGGAAUUGCGCUUGUGACUGCAUCGCUGGAGUGCGGCAGAGGGGGAUGGAAUUCCGCGUGUAGCAGUGAAAUGCGUAGAUAUGCGGAGGAACACCGAUGGCGAAGGCAAUCCCCUGGGCCUGCACUGACGCUCAUGCACGAAAGCGUGGGGAGCAAACAGGAUUAGAUACCCUGGGUAGUCCACGCCCUAAACGAUGUCAACUGGUUGUUGGGUCUCUUCUGACUCAGUAACGAAGCUAACGCGUGAAGUUGACCGCCUGGGGAGUACGGCCGCAAGGUUGAACUCAAGGAAUUGACGGGGACCCGCACAGCGGUGGAUGAUGUGGUUUAAUUCGAUGCACGCGAAAACCUUACCCACCUUUGACAUGUACGGAAUUUGCAGAGAUGGCUUA
Molecule: ribosomal RNA, 949 nt
Filed under: uncultured beta proteobacterium
Lineage: Bacteria; Pseudomonadati; Pseudomonadota; Betaproteobacteria
Description: bacterial SSU rRNA
Rfam family: Bacterial small subunit ribosomal RNA
Source: RNAcentral